This 765-nucleotide ribosomal RNA is filed under the name uncultured organism. Its description in RNAcentral is "bacterial SSU rRNA". It matches the Rfam family "Bacterial small subunit ribosomal RNA", at positions 107 to 851 of the family's 1533-position model. The record is from RNAcentral.
UGAGUAAUGCAUGGGCAAUCUACCCUCAAGUUGGGAAUACCUCCGCGAAAGUGGGAGUUAAUACCGAAUAUGAUCUCCCGGCGCAUGCCGGGGUGUUCAAAGGCGGGGACCUUCGGGCCUGCCGCUUGGGGAUGAGCCCGUGUCCUAUCAGCUUGUUGGUGAGGUAAUGGCUCACCAAGGCUUACGGGUAGCUGGUCUGAAAGGAUGGUCAGCCACACUGGGACUGAGACACUGCCCAGACUCCUACGGGAGGCUGCAGUCGAGAAUCAUUGUCAAUGCGCGAAAGCGUGAACAUGCGACGCCGCGUGGAGGAUGAAGGCCUUCGGGUUGUAAACUCCUGUAGUCAGGGAGCAAUCGUCGGUGGGUGAAUACCCCAUCGGCCUGAUCGUACCUGAACAGUAAGCCACGGCUAACUCUGUGCCAGCAGCCGCGGUAAUACAGAGGUGGCAAGCGUUGUUCGGAUUUACUGGGCGUAAAGGGUGCGUAGGCGGUUGCGUGUGUCGGAUGUGAAAUCUCACUGUUCAUCGGUGAAACUGCAUUCGAAACUACGUAACUCGAGUACUGGAGAGGAGAGCGGAAUUCUUGGUGUAGCGGUGAAAUGCGUUGAGAUCAAGAAGAACGCCGGUGGCGAAGGCGGCUCUCUGGACAGAAACUGACGCUGAGGCACGAAAGCUAGGGGAGCAAACAGGAUUAGAUACCCUGGUAGUCCUAGCCGUAAGCGUUGUGCACUUGGUGUGGGAGGAGUUUACCCCUUCCGUGCCGUAG